UUCAGAAGCUGGUGCGUGACGUCAGUGAGCGGAAGUAAACAGACCCGCUGCGCUUCAUGUCAACACGCUUAUGAACUCUAUAAGAUCAUCUGAUCAUAUAUUAAAUAAUCUAUGAUUAAUAAUAUUAUAAAGUCAACAGUCUGAGGUUGAAUCGUACGCUUUGAUGGCUCAGAUUCUGCAGAGGAAACUGCUGUGCUGUAAAUAUCAUUGAUUAUUGAUUAUUGAUGCCGGUUCGGGAUGGCCGCGGGUUUCGCUCCGCCGAAGCUCAAAGACUUUAUUCUCACCGAGAAACUGGGAAGCGGCACAUAUGCCACAGUUUAUAAAGCGUUCAGAAAGACGGACAGCAGGGAGGCGGUGGCUGUGAAGGUGGUCAGUAAGAAAAGCCUCAAUAAAACCUCCAUGGAGAAUCUGCUGACCGAGAUCGAGAUCCUGAAAACAGUCCGGCAUCCUCACAUAGUGCAGCUCAAAGACUUCCAGUGGGACAGUGAUCACAUCUAUCUGAUUCUGGAAUGGUGUUCAGGAGGAGAUUUGUCCUCUUUUAUCCGCAGUCGCCGGAUCCUCCCGGAAAGAGUCGCUCGCCGCUGCCUUCAGCAGAUUGCAUGUGCUCUUCAGUUUCUCCAUGAGAAGAACAUCUCUCAUCUGGACCUCAAGCCUCAGAACAUUCUGCUGAGUGGAAACGUGUUAAAGCUCGCAGACUUUGGUUUUGCGCAGUACAUGAGUCCGUGGGACGAGCAGCACGCUCUGAGAGGUUCUCCGCUCUAUAUGGCUCCAGAGAUGGUGUGUCGACGGCAUUAUGACGCUCGAGUGGAUCUGUGGUCCGUCGGGGUCAUUCUGUACGAAGCUUUAUUUGGACGGGCUCCGUUUGCCUCACGAUCAUUCGCUGAACUGGAAGAGAAGAUCCGCAGUGAGAAACCCGUCGAGCUGCCGUCCGGAGCCAGAGUUUCCCGUGACUGUCGAGACCUGCUGCUGCGGCUGCUCGAGAGAGACCCGGACACCCGCAUCACGUUCCACGAGUUCUUCCUGCAUCCCUUCGUGGAUCUGGAGCACAUGCCGAGCGCUGAGAGCCUCGGGAAGGCUAAAGCGCUGGUGAUGCAGGCGGUGCAGAAGGACCAGGAUGGAGAGCGAUCGGCUGCGUUAUCUCUCUACUGUAGUGCACUGGAACACUUCGUUCCUGCCAUUCACUAUGAGACGGACAGACUGAGGAAGGAAGCGCUGAGACAGAAGGUGAAUCAGUAUGUUUCUCGAGCCGAGGAGCUCAAAGCUCUGGUCAGAUCGGACAACAAAAUCAGUUUCGAGGCGGCGAAAUCAACCAGGAACAUCUUAAUAGAAAUGUCCAGAGAUCACCCCCGUUUACUGGCUGCGCUGGAAGUAGCGUCCACUGCUGUCGCCCAGGAGGAGAGCGGCGCGGAGGACUACGACACGCUGGAUCUGUACCAGCAGAGUUUGGGCGAGCUGCUGCUGGCGCUGGCGGGUAAAGUUACUUACACACGAAACAGCAGAACGUCCAGAUGUGGCGAUGGGUCCGUGCCAGGUCAGCGUGUGCGGCUGGAGGAUGAAGUGAGCUCAGAGAGCGAGACCCUGCCGGAUUCACGUUUCACUGCAGGGCUUUUGGCCGUUACGCUCCCGCUGUGGAUCUGUCACGCUGCUAACGCCAGCGCCGGCCUAAUCAAAACACAGCCGCUCUAGGGCUCAGCGUGCGAGACUCAGGCAUCUGCGAGACAUAAUAAGCCUGGUUGUGAAACGUUUCUCAGUUUGUACUCUUGCUCAGAGAGCGUUAUGGUGUGUGCACACCGAAAGCGAAGCGAGUAUUCGCAUCGCGUAGAGCCUGAUUUAUAAAUUUGCCCGGCUCCGCAGCGCACGCUCCUCCCCAGACGGAUAAGGCGUUUAAGUGUGCCAUUGUAUAUUUUCCACAUUUUAUUUGCGUUUUAAGCGAAUAUCUCGUUUUCGCGGCAAUCGCGUCACAUCAUUCGCCCGCGUCUCACAAAGUAACAGAAAAUGCCGUGCACACCGUCACGCGAAAUGGGUUCGCGCGCACUCAACACGCACUUCCGCCAAAGCCGCGAUUACAUCACUUUUGACGUGCGCACCCAAGAAACUUGAGGACGCGUCGAUAAAUCUGGCUUUACUCACUCUAGAUUAAUCGCGGGAUUACUUGAUUUUCUCGUCACUCGCGCAAAUAAAAAAAAACGCGCGAUGAGGAGCGUCUUCACCGGGAAUCCCAGCCUGUGCAUAGUGCUGUAAAACUCAUAGCUAGAAACGAUUUGGUCAUCUGAGAAAAAUUUUGAGAUUCCUCAAAGAUUCCUGUAAUGCUAGGCUAAAAUCUGCAGUCUUUGAUCGCUAGUUUGACGUUCACCGACAGCCGAUUAAUCACCGUUGCGAUCAAAUUUUUCCUCCUACAAAAUUCCGUCAGUGUCAGAAGAUUUGGGACACAGUCCCGCAGUGUGACUUCUACAACGAAUGUCAAAUUGUCUUCUUUUUCAAGAUAAGCCAUGAUCAAAAUUAACCUUAGAGAUGUCUUUGUUAGCCAUUGUUUCAGUCCCGCGUGUCACUUACCAGGUCCAACUCCUUUUUUGUCCGGUCUCUGUAUGAACAGGAAGUUGUGUCAUAAAUUUCAGGGUAUACAAUAGUGCUUUCCUACUUGUGCAGAAGACACAUUUGAGGUGAAUAUCGCAGCAAUGGCAUCAUGUUAUUCACGUCACCCAGAGCGAAUUUGCGUCUAUUCGCGUCUUUGCAUUGUGCAUGAAUAGAUUUGUAUGUAAUUUAUUCAUGCAAAUAAUUAAAGUGGCUUUUGAUGUGCACAUUGAUAGGUCUGAAGGUUUAAUUGGGUGUUAUUGUUGUGUAGUGUGGUGGACUGAAGUGUGCUGUAGUGUUUCUCUCUCUGUCUCCUCCAGCUGAAGCUCAAGGCCGGCGCAGAGAGCUGCUCCACCUCGAGAUCAAGAGUCUGAUGAGUCGAGCUGAAUACCUCAAAGAGCUGAUCAAGAUGCGGGAAACUCAGACGGAUGAAUCGCUGAAGAAAGACGCCGCGGCUGAAUCAGUCAGA
This is an RNA transcript of Megalobrama amblycephala (Wuchang bream), 3040 nucleotides long. It is a transcript of the gene named unc-51 like kinase 3, with no coding region annotated. Lineage: Eukaryota; Metazoa; Chordata; Actinopteri; Cypriniformes; Xenocyprididae. The transcript is spliced from 15 exons. The record is from RefSeq and is a predicted model, not a curated record.